AGCUGAUGUUACAUCACCAGGUUGAUCAGACCAGAAGGAAUAUGUUCACCUAGCCGAUGCAAAUUUGAGGUGGAAAAUAAGGACCAAAGGGGUUGAAAUGAGGCAUGGGGUUUCGAAGUGCUGAGAAAAGUCAGCUUGGAAUAAAAAUGCAAAGAAAGAGGGUGGGAGGGAGGAUGGGAGAGAGAGGGAGGGGGAAGGAGAGAGAGAGAUUGAAAAAUCAAUCCCCCAGCCACAGGCAGCCCAGCUGGUGGGCACCAGAUGGGAAAGCGAUGAUCUACAGAUCAGGGCCUGUUAACAAGGCUGAUGGCAACCCAAGGAAACCACCUGCAGCCGGCUUUGCAGAAAAUCAGCACCCAAGGAUGGGGCUUCCAGUAAUCCAUCGCAGGAACCACCGAGCCAUGAACUUGUUAAACGGUAGCCGCUGGAGGCCGGCUCAGCUCACGCUCAGCUGCAAACGGGGCGAAUCUCUGCCACUGGAAGACCAGAUGGCGCCAGUGUUGGUGGUGGUCUCACGGUCCCAACACGCACCUUGGCAGAUGCUGGGGUUGGCAGCUCCCGGGUCAGCUGAACUAACAUUGCCGGCAUCUUCUGAGCGUUUGAGAGGUGCAUCUGUUCGCUCUUCCUGCCUCAUCUCCUGAGUUGCCACCUGGUUCUCCUCUAUCCAACCUAUAGACGCAUCAAGAAGAACAAAAUGCAAUUAUUAGUGAACACGAGCUCUAUGAUGUUGUGUUGGCCUCUGCCACACAUCAACAUGAAUCUGUCACAGCGCUACCUGGAUCUCAUCUCCUUUCCUUGCUGCCUUCACUUCCCCUUGAGGACUAAGGACUGAAGAUCCCC
Bos taurus (domestic cattle) is the source of this 837-nucleotide long non-coding RNA. NCBI's taxonomy places the organism in Eukaryota, Metazoa, Chordata, Mammalia, Artiodactyla, Bovidae. The record is from Ensembl.